RNAcentral lists this ribosomal RNA (954 nucleotides) under uncultured bacterium. Its description in RNAcentral is "bacterial SSU rRNA". It matches the Rfam family "Bacterial small subunit ribosomal RNA", at positions 523 to 1482 of the family's 1533-position model. The record is from RNAcentral.
AAACGUAGGGUGCAAGCGUUGUCCGGAAUUACUGGGUGUAAAGGGAGCGCAGGCGGGAAGACAAGUUGGAAGUGAAAACCAUGGGCUCAACCCAUGAAUUGCUUUCAAAACUGUUUUUCUUGAGUAGUGCAGAGGUAGAUGGAAUUCCCGGUGUAGCGGUGGAAUGCGUAGAUAUCGGGAGGAACACCAGUGGCGAAGGCGGUCUACUGGGCACCAACUGACGCUGAGGCUCGAAAGCAUGGGUAGCAAACAGGAUUAGAUACCCUGGUAGUCCAUGCCGUAAACGAUGAUUACUAGGUGUUGGGGGAUUGACCCCCUCAGUGCCGCAGUUAACACAAUAAGUAAUCCACCUGGGGAGUACGACCGCAAGGUUGAAACUCAAAGGAAUUGACGGGGGCCCGCACAAGCAGUGGAGUAUGUGGUUUAAUUCGAAGCAACGCGAAGAACCUUACCAGGUCUUGACAUCCGAUGCAUAGCACAGAGAUGUGUGAAAUCCUUCGGGACAUCGAGACAGGUGGUGCAUGGUUGUCGUCAGCUCGUGUCGUGAGAUGUUGGGUUAAGUCCCGCAACGAGCGCAACCCUUAUUGCCAGUUACUACGUUAAGAGGACUCUGGCGAGACUGCCGUUGACAAAACGGAGGAAGGUGGGGAUGACGUCAAAUCAUCAUGCCCUUUAUGACCUGGGCUACACACGUACUACAAUGGCGUUAAACAAAGAGAAGCAAGACCGCGAGGUGGAGCAAAACUCAAAAACAACGUCUCAGUUCAGAUUGCAGGCUGCAACUCGCCUGCAUGAAGUCGGAAUUGCUAGUAAUCGCGGAUCAGCAUGCCGCGGUGAAUACGUUCCCGGGCCUUGUACACACCGCCCGUCACACCAUGAGAGCCGGGGGGACCCGAAGUCGAUAGUCUAACCGCAAGGAGGACGUCGCCGAAGGUAAAACUGGUGAUUGGGGUG